Molecule: unclassified non-coding RNA, 1254 nt
Filed under: Hevea brasiliensis (rubber tree)
Lineage: Eukaryota; Viridiplantae; Streptophyta; Magnoliopsida; Malpighiales; Euphorbiaceae
Source: RNAcentral
CGAAAACAUGCAGUCAAGCAUUACAAUACCACUGUACAUGCUUUAAGAACAUCUGGGAACUAACCAAGUUUAACACUAAUGAUAAUGUACAGCAAAACAGUAAAGCAGUUUCAAAUACCUGGCAUCAUCUGUGGGUAAAGAUGGUGGCUAAAACGAGUCGAUCUUCCCCGUCAGAAGCGGAUGCAGCUUUAGUUUAACCGUUAAUGCGUUCAAAUGAACCUAGAAUUCUAUGGAUCCGCCUUCUGUCUUUUUAGAGGUGGCACGAUGAAGUUGAUCUUGAUGGGGUUGUUUUUCUUCGGUGGUGGCUUCAGGAUGUUAGUUAAAGCAUUAGCACCUCUUAUUUCAAUGGCUGCCUUGUCAUAAGCCAAAGCAGCUUCUAAAGCAGUAUCAAAAGUUCCCAACCAAAGCCGAGUUUUCUUUCUUGUAUCUCGAAUCUCUGCUGCCCACUUACCCCAUUUUCGUCGUCUAACUCCCCUGUACUUAUUCACAUCUUCUUGCAUCAGAUUCGAAGCUUUCUUCUCUUUGGACUUCUUCUUUGAAAUGUCCUUGGUCUUUCCAUUCUCGAUGAUGAUUUCCUUUACGCACGUCCUUUCAUGUCCCUCGGACUUCUCUUCUUCAUCCUUCUCCUCCUCGUCACUAGACGAGUCUGUUGUGUCAUGGUCCGGCGCGUGAAUACGUACAAGACGUGGAAAGACUUGGGAAAUUUCGCCCACUUGAUUGCUGGAUUUUUCAACUAGGGCAAUUACUGAGGGUUCUUUGACUCCCUCUUUUACCUGAAGCUCUUCCUUGGGGGUCAUUGCUCUUAUUUCAAUGGCUGCCUUAUCAUAAGCCAAAGCAGCUUCUUCAGCAGUGUCAAAACUGCCCAGCCAAAGUCGAGUUUUGUUUUUUGUGUCUCGGAUCUCUGCUGCCCAUUUGCCCCAUCUCCGUUGUCUAACUCCUUUGUACUUCUUCGCAUUUUCUUGGAACAUCUUUAUAUCUUUCUUCUCUUUGGACGUCUUCUUUGAAAUGACCCUGGUCUUCCCAUUCUCAAUGAUGAUUUCCUUUAUACACGUCCUUUUAUGUCUCUUGGACUUCUCUCCUUGAAGCUUUUCCUCCUCGUCACUAGAUGAGUCUGUGGCGUCACUGUCCGGCAUGUAAAUACGCACAACACGCGGCAAGACAACAGAACUUUCACCCACUGGGUUGAUAGAUUUCUCAACUCUGGGAAUUUCUGAGGGUUCCUCGACUGCAUCAUUUUCCUUAUGUUCAUCCUUG